AGAUUGAACGCUGGCGGCAGGCCUAACACAUGCAAGUCGAGCGGUAGAGAGGUGCUUGCAUCUCUUGAGAGCGGCGGACGGGUGAGUAAUGCCUAGGAAUCUGCCUGGUGGUGGGGGAUAACGUUCGGAAACGGACGCUAAUACCGCAUACGUCCUACGGGAGAAAGCGGGGGACCUUCGGGCCUCGCGCCAUUAGAC
RNAcentral lists this ribosomal RNA (198 nucleotides) under uncultured soil bacterium. RNAcentral describes it as "partial 16S ribosomal RNA". It matches the Rfam family "Bacterial small subunit ribosomal RNA", at positions 26 to 226 of the family's 1533-position model. The record is from RNAcentral.